RNAcentral lists this ribosomal RNA (487 nucleotides) under uncultured bacterium. Its description in RNAcentral is "bacterial SSU rRNA". It matches the Rfam family "Bacterial small subunit ribosomal RNA", at positions 28 to 507 of the family's 1533-position model. The record is from RNAcentral.
GAUGAACGCUAGCGGGAGGCUUAACACAUGCAAGUCGAGGGGCAGCAUGAUGUAGCAAUACAUUGAUGGCGACCGGCAGACGGGUGAGUAACGCGUAUGUAACCUACCCUGUACAGGGGGAUAACCCGGAGAAAUUCGGACUAAUAUCCCAUAAUAUUAUGAGAGGGCAUCUGAUUAUAAUUAAAGUUCCGGCGGUACGGGAUGGGCAUGCGUAACAUUAGCUAGUUGGUAAGGUAACGGCUUACCAAGGCUUUGAUGUUUAGGGGUCCUGAGAGGGUGGUCCCCCACACUGGUACUGAGACACGGACCAGACUCCUACGGGAGGCAGCAGUGAGGAAUAUUGGUCAAUGGGCGCAAGCCUGAACCAGCCAUCCCGCGUGCAGGAAGACGGCCCUAUGGGUUGUAAACUGCUUUUCCAGGGGACGAAUAGUUUUCUACGUGUAGAGACCUGACGGUACCUUGGGAAUAAGCAUCGGCUAACUCCGUG